UCAAGAUUAAAUAUUUACCUCUAUAAUCAUUUUUUUAUCCACUUUUUGUAAUGAAAAAGGUGUGUUUUGCUUCUCAACAGUCCAUUCCACAUGCCAACAUAACAUCAAUACAUUCUAACAUUGUACAAAUACUAUGUCCCUGCUUAUUCAAAAGAAACAUCUCAUUCUAAGGUAUGAAUGAUUACUGGAAUUACAACAUUCUGGCUUAAAAAUAGUACUAUUAAUUCCAAUAAAAGAAUCUGCUUUGUAAAAUCAUCUGUAGUUCUUGGAAUAAAUUAUUAUUAUUAAUAAUUAAUUGUGUUUAAGGGGUAGAGUGACGUAAUUUCCGGAUAAAUUAACUUUUCUUUAGCAGAGAGGCUUAAAAAUUAAAAAAAAAGUAAAUUAGUGAGAUUAAGUAAGUUUGUGUACAAAAUACUCAUACGCACCUGUUUGUAUUAUUCUUAAUAAAUUAAGAAUGUCAGGAAAUGAUAAUUUCAUGGAUGGAUUGUUAGAUUUUUGGAAGAGGAACCUAAGGAAAGUAUCGAUGACAGCGAUAUAUCCGAUGAAGAAGAAAAAAUUGCUCAAAGUGGACAUGAUAGUCACUCAGAGAACGUGAAAAUCCUGCGGAAUUUUUGCCAAAUAAAAAUCGUCAGCCUCAAUCGUCUUUAUUUGGCUUUCAAAAAGAUACUGUAUUAGUGUCUUAUGUUCCAAAAAAACAAACAAAGCCGUUAUAUUAUUAUCAACGAUGCACGACUUACCGGAAGUUGACGAAGAAUCAAAUAAACCCGAAAUUAUUUUACGUUAUAAUCAAACAAAAGGAGCAGCAGAUACGGUUGAUGAGAUGUUCGUUGCCUAACGAAUAAACUCUCAGAUAUUGUAUUUCACAUUCUGCGGGAAAUCAGUGUCGACGAAGAAUUUUCUUAAGUAAUUUAGCAAUUGCUUUAAUGAAAGAGCAACUAAUUAUGAGAGCUCAAAUAAUUACGCUGUCAAAGGAUAUUCGGGCGUUUUUGCAAAUGUUCUACACGGCUGCUGAUUGCGAAACGUCCGAAACAUAACCAACUCAAUACUACACAAAAUGCUGUAAAUGUAAGCAAUUCAUAAUAUGUAAAAAACGGUCAAAAACAAUGAUAACUUGCUCGAAUUGUGAAGUAUUGAUCGUGUGAAAGGCGCUUAAUUAAAUACGUUUCGUAAAAAUCGUAUCUGUCCGGUAUAUGAACGUAGUUUCAUAGAUGUUUCUUGUUUACUGGGUUAUUUUAUACUCUAUAUUGUAAACACAUAAAAUGUUUCUAGUUCUAGGUCUAAUGUUAGUUCUAGUAUUGCACUAGCACUAACCAUAGCUUUGUUCAUUGGGACUGCACUACUUACACUAAGCAGUUUAGUGCAGAUGUUGUGUGUUCGUUGGGGAUAGUGUAGUUUAGUGCAGUUGCACUCAUACUGUUCGUUGGGCCAUGCGCAGUGCAACUUCGUGCAGCUGGUGCAAGUUAGUGCAGAUUUUGUUGCACCUGCUUUCGAUUAAAUUCAAUAAGUGCAGUGUAAUUCAGUGUAACGAAAAUGGCGGAAUAUUUGAAAGCGUGUUUUGUAAUAAUUAAUAUUAAAUAUUAAAAAAUAAAACCUUAUAAUAAUUAAUAUUUGUUGUAUUAGAGAACACAGUACAUUUAAUCCCAGUAGAGGCAAUACAAAAUGGACAAGAUAGUAGAUAGAUAAAUGGACAACAGACUAUAAAUAAGAUAUUAAUUUGUUUUUUUAGGGUUAUUAUAAAUUAUUAGGCAAAGGACGAAUUCCAAAUCAGGUCGUCAUUGUUAAGGCCAAAUUCUUCUCGAAAUGUGCAGAAGAUAAAAUUAAAGCUGUUGGUGAAGUUUGUAUAUUAACAGCUUAAGUUGUAAUAAAGUUAUUAUAAAAAGAAAAAAA
This 1887-nucleotide long non-coding RNA is filed under the name Onthophagus taurus. RNAcentral's name for it is "uncharacterized LOC111415431". The record is from RNAcentral. Lineage: Eukaryota; Metazoa; Arthropoda; Insecta; Coleoptera; Scarabaeidae.